GUAGACCUCAAGAGAAAGAGGAGAAGUAACUUGUAGACCUCAAGAGAAAGAGGAGAAGUAACUUGUAGACUUCAGGAGAGAGAGGAGAAUUAACUUGUAGACCUCAAGAGAAAGAGGAGAAGUAACUUGUAGACCUCAAGAGAAAGAGGAGAAGUAACUUGUAGACCUCAAGAGAAAGAGGAGAAGUAACUUGUAGACCUCAAGAGAAAGAGGAGAAGUAACUUGUAGACUUCAGGAGAGAGAGGAGAAUUAACUUGUAGACCUCAAGAGAAAGAGGAGAAGUAACUUGAGCAGGAUCUUAGCAACUUGAGGGCGGGAGCAAAAGCUUUUAGACCUCAAAACAGGAGCAGGAACAUGGCAAAUUCCGGAGCAGAACUUUGAAACAUCAUGUGAAACAGCUUUGAGACUUCAGGACAGGAGCUUUGAAACACCAGGAGUAGGAACUUGUAAACUUGAGGACAGGAGCAGGACCUUAUAGACAUCAACACUGGAGCAGGAGUUUAGCAACAGGAGCAGGAGCUUGAAAUUUCAGGACCAAAUCAGGAGCUUUGAGACUCCGGGACAUGAGCAAGAGCUUGUAGAUCUAGAAACUUAAGUGUGCAGGAGCUCUCUAGGAGGAACUCACCCAUACAGUUGUUGUUGUUGUUGUUGUUUGCUUUUUUGCUUUUUUGCUUCUUUUUUAUUAAGAAAAGCAUAGAGGUGUAGCAAAGGAACAACAAAGGAAGAAAGACAAUGAGGGUAAAGGUGAAAGGAGAUAAGAAAGGAUAAGGGGAUAUUUCUUUUCAGUCAACAUGAUGGACACUGCAAUGAAGUAACCCAUGCAGCAUGUAUUAUAGAGUUUGUGCAUGUUUUCUGUGUGUGUGUGAGAGAGUGAGAGAGGGAGGGAGAGAGCGUGAGAGUGUGUCAGCAUGAGAUUCCCUUCAGCUCGAUGCAAAUGAGCUUUUGUUGUGCGUCUCUUGCCUGGUUAAUCUGUCAGGAUUUGUUUGGUGAACACAGCAUGGAGGAGAGAGAGAGUGGGCGAGAGACACAGACAGAGACACACACACACACACACAGAGAGAGAGAGAGAGAGAGAACACGAACUGUUGUGCUUUUGUGUAUUGUGCGUCUCACCCAGAAAUUGUUACCUUUCACCCAGAUGAGUGGGACAUGGAGGAGGAGGAAGAGGUACACUCGUUCCCCUCUCUCUCUCUCUCUCUCUCUCUCUCUCUCUCUCUCUCUCUCUCUCUCUCUCUCUCUCUCUUUGUGUGUGUGUGUUUCUCACGUGAAUUCAUUAUUCCUGCCCCUACUGUUUUUCUCUGUUCUCCUUCUUCACCUCAGUACACAGCUCCUCCUCUAUAUUUCUUUCUCUGUGGGAGGAGUUCCCUGUAAGAAUGUGCAGGACUGUCUUGUCACACACACACACACACACACACACACCCUCUUGCACAAAGCGCCCACACAGUUCACAGUGACAGCAAAAGCAUACAAAAGAAAGUACAGUGCGCACACACACACACACACACACACACACACACUCUCUCUCUCUCUCUCUCUCUCUCUCUCUCUCUCUCUCUCUCUCUCUCUCUCUCUCUCUCUCACACACACACACACACACACACACACACACACACC
Molecule: long non-coding RNA, 1614 nt
Organism: Ictalurus punctatus (channel catfish)
Lineage: Eukaryota; Metazoa; Chordata; Actinopteri; Siluriformes; Ictaluridae
Source: Ensembl